GCAGAGUAUUCUAAGGAACGUGGUAUUCCGACGGCCUAAACAUGUUUGCAAGCAUUCGUUCCUUCUUGCCUGCUUAUUUCCUAGUGUUGCUGAGCUGUGCCUGGAUGGCAUCUGCAGCGUUUAGUUCGCAUUGCAAUUGCGAUCAUCCAAAAAGUGAAGCAUGCCAAAUGAUAUGCCCGAAAUAAGAAGUCCGGCAAGAAACUGGCGAUGGCAGCAUUGUUGAAGAAGCCUCUGGACACUACAUUAGUAACUUCAUAGUGCCAUGUAUAUAUUAUGUGACUGCCACGAGAAAAUAAAGGGCUGUUCUUCUUCCCCAAUAA
Molecule: long non-coding RNA, 320 nt
Organism: Megalopta genalis
Lineage: Eukaryota; Metazoa; Arthropoda; Insecta; Hymenoptera; Halictidae
Source: RefSeq, a predicted model, not a curated record